AUGGAGAGGGCUAUGAAGAGACAGUGCUCAUGGAAUUCUUACCUUAUGGAGGGCGACACUAAUACCCGCUACUUCCAUCUCCGCGCCAACGGCUGUCGUCGACAAAACAUCAUCCGACGCCUCUCCCAUCAUGGAGGGUGGGUGACCACACAUGAGGAUAAGGAGAGUGCCAUCGCCAAGCCUAACGUGUGCUUGCAUGCCCUCGACGACCCCUUCUCUCAACCUGAAGUCCGUGACGCCAUUGGGAAGCUACCAGGAGACAAGACCCCCAACCCCGAUGGUUUUACGGGGGCUUUCUUCAAGUCGGCUUGGCACAUCAUCAAGGCUGACUUCAUGGCCAUGGUGCAGGGAUUGUUCAAAGGAUUCUACUCUUCUUCGCACAAGGAUGCUACAGGAACUUGGACACUCGGAUUCAUCCAAAAUCCAUGGCCGCGGAUGCUCAUCGACGUACACAUAUUAUGUUCAACGAGGCAAUCCCAAUGCUUCGCUCCUUCAGCGCCCGCUCCUUCAGCGCUCUCCUUCGGCGCACACUCCCAUGAGUGCUCCCUAAUUACCACAAGUGGCACCGACAUUGGGAUCAGAGAACUUUCAUGGUGGGAUCAUGCAUUGUGGCUCCUCCAACAUUAUCUUCAUACAAAUUUGCCCCGUAAAUGCGCUCCUCGCCUGCGUGGCUCUCCUUGGACUCUCGACGAUUGA
RNAcentral lists this ribosomal RNA (696 nucleotides) under Triticum aestivum (bread wheat). RNAcentral describes it as "partial small subunit ribosomal RNA". The record is from RNAcentral. Lineage: Eukaryota; Viridiplantae; Streptophyta; Magnoliopsida; Poales; Poaceae.